AGAGAGAGACAUGCGCGCAUAUCAAUAAGCGGAGGAAAAGAAACUAACAAGGAUUCCCUUAGUAACGGCGAGUGAAGCGGGAAGAGCUCAAAUUUGAAAUCUUCAAGGUUCUACCUUGACGAACUUGUAGUUUAUAGAAGUGUUUUCUGUUAGUGGAGUGGCAAAAGUUCUUUGGAAUAGGACAUCAUAGAGGGUGAGAAUCCCGUAUUUGGUCAUUCCUCCUAGCGUUGUGAUACACUUUCAACGAGUCGGAUUGUUUGGGAAUGCAGUCCAAAAUGGGUGGUAAACUUCAUCUAAAGCUAAAUAUUGGCGAGAGACCGAUAGCGAACAAGUACCGUGAGGGAAAGAUGAAAAGAACUUUGAAAAGAGAGUUAAACAGUACGUGAAAUUGUCAAAAGGGAAGCGUUUGACACCAGUGUUGUUUUUCCGAAAAUCAAUUACGAAUGUUUUAUUUUUGAGGAGUUAUGACUUCAUCGGCUUGCUCCUUUCUUUAUGAAACUUUCUUAAUGCACUUUUCGGUUAACAAGUCAACAUCAAUUUCUUUUGUUGUAAAAGGGUAUGAGGAAGGUGGCUUUCUUUUCGGAGAAAGUGUUUAUAGCCUUGUGCCUCUGCAAUCGGAGAGAUUGAGGUCUGCAGCGUAGAUCCUUCGGGGUUAGAUACGUUUGUGCUAAGUUAUAGCCUUUCAUAGACAACUUGUUGACUAUGUUUAGUCUUGUAGCUUACUCGCUGAUGCUAUUUUACCUACGCUUAGGAUGUUGAUAGUCACAGCGUGUAC
Molecule: ribosomal RNA, 775 nt
Filed under: uncultured Neocallimastigales
Lineage: Eukaryota; Fungi; Neocallimastigomycota; Neocallimastigomycetes; Neocallimastigales
Description: partial large subunit ribosomal RNA
Rfam family: Eukaryotic large subunit ribosomal RNA
Source: RNAcentral